GACGAACGCUGGCGGCGUGCUUAACACAUGCAAGUCGUACGGUAAGGCCCUUUCGGGGGUACACGAGUGGCGCACGGGUGAGUAACACGUGAGUAACCUGCCCACAACUUUGGGAUAACGCUAGGAAACUGGUGCUAAUACUGGAUAUGUGCUCCUGCUGCAUGGUGGGGGUUGGAAAGCUCCGGCGGUUGUGGAUGGACUCGCGGCCUAUCAGCUUGUUGGUGGGGUAGUGGCCUACCAAGGCGGCGACGGGUAGCCGGCCUGAGAGGGUGACCGGCCACAUUGGGACUGAGAUACGGCCCAGACGCCUACGGGAGGCAGCAGUGGGGAAUAUUGCACAAUGGGCGCAAGCCUGAUGCAGCAACGCCGCGUGCGGGAUGACGGCCUUCGGGUUGUAAACCGCUUUCAGCAGGGACGAAGCUUUUUGUGACGGUACCUGCAGAAGAAGCACCGGCUAACUACGUG
RNAcentral lists this ribosomal RNA (465 nucleotides) under uncultured bacterium. RNAcentral describes it as "partial 16S ribosomal RNA". It matches the Rfam family "Bacterial small subunit ribosomal RNA", at positions 28 to 507 of the family's 1533-position model. The record is from RNAcentral.